AGACAUUUGAAGACUUUAAGAAUGAUAAGCAGGCCCUCGAGUACCAGCAGAGGAUAGUGGACAUCCUACUCCAGGUGAUGGUGGACAACCCAGACUUCACUCCCUCCCAGGUGGGCGGGCUCUUCACCUUUUUGGCUCGUCAGUUGGCCAAGCCAGACAACACACUGUUUGUGAACAGGAAGCUCUUUGAUCAGGUGCUGGAGUUCCUGUGUUGCCCAGACGAUGACUCUCGACACACUGAGAGGCAGCAGGUUGGUGACAGAAACAGAAAGAAGUUUUUCUCUCUCAUCGUCAA
Long non-coding RNA from Notothenia coriiceps (black rockcod), 295 nucleotides. RefSeq lists it as uncharacterized. NCBI's taxonomy places the organism in Eukaryota, Metazoa, Chordata, Actinopteri, Perciformes, Nototheniidae. The transcript has 3 exons. The record is from RefSeq and is a predicted model, not a curated record.